This 315-nucleotide ribosomal RNA is filed under the name Triticum aestivum (bread wheat). RNAcentral describes it as "partial small subunit ribosomal RNA". Lineage: Eukaryota; Viridiplantae; Streptophyta; Magnoliopsida; Poales; Poaceae. The record is from RNAcentral.
AUGCAGUGUCCAUUUGGAGCGCAGCAAAGGAGAAAUCGCAGUGUGGAGGCGCUGACUAGGGCCGGCGGCGAAGAUGUCGUGGUCGUCCAGUGCCGGGUCGCUCCCGGAUUUCGUCGAGCUGCAGGAAGGAGGGGGGAGGAGUCGCACUCGCCGGUGCACUACCGCGAGAACCCAAUGGCAUACGCGCCUCCAGUGAUGUGCCACUGCUCAAUUCCGAGGAAGGCGCCAAGAUGGAUCUCCUGGAGCAGGCAGAACCCUGGUAGGAGGUACUAUAGCUGCGUGGAUGCUAUGGUGAGUGUUGUUUUUUUGGCCUAA